This is a long non-coding RNA of Homo sapiens (human), 417 nucleotides long. Lineage: Eukaryota; Metazoa; Chordata; Mammalia; Primates; Hominidae. The record is from Ensembl.
UGUGUUGUGUUUAUUCAGCAGCACGCUAAAUCACACCCGGGCACAAGUGGAGCAUUCAUCAGGAACCACGAGCCCCUCUUUCAGUCUGCCAAACCUAUCCAAUUACUGGGGCUGGAAGAGCCUGCACAAACCCUUCUGCCAGGCCUUGCAAAAUUCUAAAGAACAAAGUCCAACCAUCCAAGCAAUAUUUUAAAGAAUGAGAUCUGUGUUAACACUUAAAGACAUUUUCCACGUUGACCUCAUGAACCCCAAAAGAAGGAUGAAAGAAGUCUGGAAUUAAUGAAUUUAGGGAACCUGUAAAACUCCAAAAAUGUUUAAUGCAAAAAUGUGAUAUUUUUGGUAGGAAAUUUCCAUUGCUUUCAACAGAUUUGGGAAGGGACCCAAAAGAUGACUAAAAGCAUCUGCAUUUUAACCAAA